Molecule: long non-coding RNA, 5031 nt
Organism: Alligator mississippiensis (American alligator)
Lineage: Eukaryota; Metazoa; Chordata; Crocodylia; Alligatoridae
Exons: 2
Source: RefSeq, a predicted model, not a curated record
AGGGGAGGGCGCAGCCUCGUCUUGAGUCACAGUCGUCCUUUCUGAGACCGGCCCGUCCCGUCCCGUCCCGGUAGCUUGGGGGCGAAUGGCACCCCAGCGCUUUGUCCCCAUGAAAAAUGCAGCCAGGAGGCAGGUGGGUCUGGAUCAACAUCGUGGUGGGUUGGCUUAUGUCCUUUGGCACAAGCCCUAAAUAUACAACAGCUACAAACAUAAAAUCUGAGCUUUAGUUUUCUUUUGGAAAUUUUGCAUAUUUUUUCCUUUUCUGUAUGUGUUACAUGAAGCAUCUCUCACAAAUUCAUGGGAAAGGUACAAUUUCCAAGAGCUACAUUCUGAUUUAUAUAACAGUACAGCACAAAACCAAUGCAUCGCCCAGUAAACAGACUAGAAACUGGCUCACUGAUAGGCCUCAGAAAUGAACUGUGGGGUGGCCAUCAAGGGACCUCAAGAAUAGAGGACAGUUUCAUUUAGUGCAUAGGGAUUUUUUUAAAACUAAAUUUAGUGCUAAUUCAUAAUAACCACAUCUAUAGAAGCUACCAAAAAGUUAAAUGUUCGAGUGUUCAGUUUGUGUUUUUUUGACACAAUGUGAUGAUAUACAGCUCCGUUUCCUGGGCUGCUGACAUCGAUAUCACAGGGUACAGGAUGUGUGAUGUUCACCCUUUCUGCUUUUCGCUAUGAAAUCACAUUCUUUUGACCAUUCUGAAUUGAAGGUCGUCUUGGACAUUUUGAAUUAAGGGUGAUGUCAAACUGAUUUUGAAGACAAACAUUUAACGGCAGGAAGCAACAGCUGUAACGUAAGGACGUCAUUAGGAAGCAUGACAAAUAGGAUCUUUGUUGGCAUUCUCAGGUCCGAUACAAACACGGGAUUGAUUAAAUGUCAAACAUAUUGACGAAUGAAGACAAGCCAUCUUAAGUUCAAUUGUGGGUUGAAAGGUUGAGUGUCUCCAGAGAAAAAUAGAGGACAUCAAGGCAUCUGGUUUCAUAUCACUAGAGGACAGAGAACAGAGUAGCAGAAAACCAGACUGUCCUCUAUAAAACCGGAUGAAUGGCUACCCUAGUUAAAGGGGAAUGGGUGAUCUGGCUUUAGUCUACCAGUAAUCAGUAUUUUCAGUAAUGAUUUAGAAGAAAGUCUGUAAUCAUGGAGUAUUGAAGCUUGUAGGUGACAUGGAGGAGCGUGCAGUGGUUAAUACUGAUGAGGAGAGGCCACAAAGGUCAGCACAAAGAAAUCUGCUGAUAUAGAGCUGUCAGAAUGGGAUUUUUAUGACUUUUCAAUGCCAGCAAAAGCUUUAGUGUAGAUGCAGGUGUAUUAGCAUACAAGUGCUUUUGCUGGUAUGGAUUUCACUCAAGGAACUAGUAUAGGCUAUACCAGUGGUGCUCAACCUUUUCCCCCUGUUAGUCGGAUGGGCAGCGUCCUGUCCACCUGCAGGCUGGAUCCCGCCAGUGGUCCUGAUCUGGCACCAGGGUGGGUGGGUGCAGUGGGCACCAUCCAGCCACGCGGAGGGGAGUUGGCGGGGGGGGGCAAUGCAGCCACAACCUGGCCCUGAAGGGGAAAGAGGUAUGGCUUGGCCCCAUGAGGGGAGUGGGGUGGAAGGGUAGUGGCCCACCCCUAAACUGGUUUGGAUGGGGAGGAGAGAGAGCAUGGUCCAGUCCUGAUCCAGAUGUGGGGAAGGAGGCAUGGCCCAGCAGCAACCAGCAGUGUAGGACUUGGGGUUUAGGAAUUUGGUAUGGGGAGGGUGACCAUGUUAAUGACCACUGCUUUCCUGGCACCAAAUUUCCCACCCCAUUGGGACUCCUGGGGGCAAGAUAUGAUGGCUUGCAGGCUAUAUUUGGCCCAUGGGUUGGAGAUUGAGUAGCUUUGUAAUGCAUCUACAUUUGCAACAUGCUGUCAUCUGAUCCUUAAUACUGAUUUGCAAAAAAAGGCAAUGAGAUGGGGGCAGGAGGGACCCACACACUUUUUUGCAUUAACUCUUUUUCAAUUGGCCAUGAUGCUCUGGGCAAAUGGGCUAACGCAAUUCUUAGAUGUAUAAGCUGAAGGAAGGAGGUGGGAUUAACUCUAGUUAAAAAUAGGGUUCAAGUGAGCCACAACAAUGAUUGUUGAGUACUAGAACUUAGAAAACUCAGUGUAUUUACUUGCCAAAGAAAGAUGAUGAAGAGGCAGCUUGAUCUAUAAGUACCUACAUGAAGAAAGGCUUUCUGGUAGCAGAGAGCUCCUUAACCUAGCUAACAAAGGUAAAAUGAAAUCCAGUGACUUGUAGUGAAGCCAAAUGAAUUCAGAGUAAAAAUACUGUAUGCAUUUUAAUAGUAUGAAUGAUUAAUAACACAUAAUUAUUUUAAUAGAUUAGAACUCUUUGCCAGGAAUGUGCUAGGUUGUAUAUGACUUAAAAACUUCAUUAAAUGGACAUUCAUUGUCUUUAUAAGGGACGUGUUUCAGCCAUAGAUUUGCAGGCUAGGUACACGAAUUACAGAACAAAAAACCUUUACCUUUUGUUAUACAGGAGAUCAAACAAGAUGGUUCUAGUGGUCCUUUCUGGUCUAACAACUCCUAGAUCUGAUUGGGUUUAUAUGUUUCAAAUAAAAUUGCACCUUAAAGUAUGAUAAACAAGCUUUGAUGCCAAGUGAAAACUGUGAAAGCUUGUCCAGACCUACAAAUGACAUUUAAAUGACCAAAUUAAAACAACAGUGCAUCUUGCACAAGAAUGCAAGAUUGUGACUGGGACCAUGCAAAAUAAAGCAAUCCCAUUUGAUUUAAUUUCUUGUGCUAGUUGCAAAUGUACCCAAUGUUUUAUUAUGCUAAACCACUCAUAAAUAACUGUAUAUUCCUAUGUGACUAUAUCCUCCUUGCUGACACAUUCUCCCUGGAUUAAGGCAUAUUUGUCAGAACAGUUAUUCAGUGUUUGUUUGGAGUUUUGCAAAUGUCUCCAUAAACCAUCACCAACUUAGACUAUUUUGGGUUCUGCCCUAUUGUUAAAAUAACUACCCAAAACACUGUUCUGUGAUCAGUUCUACAAGGUAUCUUGUUCAGUCAAUCAAGACCCAUCCUAUUUGAUUGAAGUGUAACCUCUGGACUGAUCAAAAGUUUGGAAAAAUAAGUUUCACAACUAGACGACCCAAAACAGGAUCUGAGCAGUUAGUAAUUGUAAUGUGGUCCCUCCCUACCUGCUUUGUUUGAACUUUAAUUUACUAACUAUCAAGAAGGAAUGCUUUGAAGCUAUACAGUUAAAUUGUAUAAGAAUGAAAGAGAGUUGCUGGCAAAAGUGUGCACUUCAGGAGAGAGAGAAAAAUCUCUGCAACAUUGUAAUGUGCACCCAGCCCGAUUGAACCCCCGGCCCAGCGCAUUAGGCAGGACCCUGGGAUACGUGGAGUCCAGAUCCCAAGCAGCAGCAAAGAAGAGACCAGGAUCCUGGUGUACACGGAUGACCUGAACAUCCUGUGCCACAAUAAGUGGUCAGUAGAAAGAGCCCUGUGGCGCGCACAGGUUUAUGAAGUGGUAGCAGGGACCAAGGUCAAUGUCUUUUGCAGGACACCUUCUGAGAUCGUGGGGGGUGUUCAUACCAACCAGCAGGAGAUCGUGGCCCAUGGAACACCCCUGGUUCUGCAAGGUUCUGAAUUAGUUCUAGAGUGAAUACAAGCUACAGAACGAAGUCCCCGCAACUGUGUCUAACCACAGGAAGAUACAAGAGGCAGUCAGAGUCAGAGACAUGCUGUCAACUGUGGAGCUGCUCCCUGGCAGUGGUUGCCAGGCCACGUGGGAACAGAUCUUCCACAAGGACCUACAAAAAGACCACAGAGACCUGAACUGGCUAAUAGUCUGUUGCUCACUCCCAGUGAGGGCACAGAGAGGCAGAGAGGUUAACUCAGUUGCCCUAGGGAAAUCUGCCAAGGUGCAUCAGAGAUCAUCAACCACCUCCUAUGGCUCUGCCCAUACGCCAGGGAGGUGUGGAUAAAAGUAAACCAACUCUGCGAAGUGAUGACGGGUUGGACAGAUGAUGAGAGAAGUAGUGCUAUACAGGCACUUUGAUCAGUUCAUGUCCUGCUUCAGGAGCACCCUGUGGAAGUCCAGGAACCUCCUGAUGUACAGGCACACAAAACUGGAGGUAGCAGACUCUGUUAAAAUGGUACUGAGUGAGCUCCAGUCCUGCUACCAAAAAGUGGUAGGAGAGGACAGAGAGGAGGUGGCCAACACCACCUGGCAGAGGGACAGUUGGCACAGGCUCUUGAAAGACCCCGGCCUCAAGGGGAAGCAGGCAGUGACAGCGAAGGAGACAAUGAGUCAACCAAGUCAAGUGACAGCGAUGAGGACAGCAGCAGUGACAGCAGCCGCGGAAUCACCAGGGACAGUGGCAGUGAAUGAACUGAGGGUUUAAAGCUCAGAACUGGAAUAAGAACCAAAGGGACAGUGUACGUGUAACGAGGAAAGGAAGGUGGACGGGAGCACGGGUGUGUGGGUGCAGUUAUUGUAACGGGUACACGGAUGUGAGUUUUUUGGAGACAGGUAUAAGGUUUUGAAAGUGGGUUAAGUUUUGUGAAGAAUGGUAUGCUAGAUGGUGUGUAUAUAUAUAACUAUCUAUUUAUAUAUAGAGCUAUAUAUUUUUCUAAAAAAAAAAAAAAUUGUAACCUGCACCCAGCUGAUCACUCCCGGCCACAGAUCCAUGCCCAGUGAAGGCUGCAAAUAUGGAAACCGCUUCAUGCCUGCAUUGGUGAGAGACACUCUUGCAGCUGACAUAUACUAGGACUUUUGUGAUAGCUCAUCUGAAUAUGAGCUCAGUUUACUGAAUAUUGGGAAGGAGUCUUUUCCUAUCAUUUAGUUUUAUAGCCCAUGUGUGAUAUAGUUAUUAAAGCCUUUCUGUCAUUAAUCGUCAUGUCAAUCCUUAACUGCACUAGGUUCCAAUCCUGCUUUUGACUGUAACAUCAGGUAUUUGGUUACAUUAUCCAUGUGCUGUUUAUACCAGGUGAAUGCUGAUUUUAUAAGGGCCAUGCAUGUCUUUAGUUGUAUAAAUAGAAUUACAUUUGCAAUAUAAAGGUAUCUUGAAAGUU